Long non-coding RNA from Pezoporus occidentalis (night parrot), 2144 nucleotides. RefSeq lists it as uncharacterized. The transcript has 6 exons. The record is from RefSeq and is a predicted model, not a curated record. NCBI's taxonomy places the organism in Eukaryota, Metazoa, Chordata, Aves, Psittaciformes, Psittacidae.
CAAUAUCUGAAACUGGUAAAACAAGAUCCACUAGAGCUCUUUCUCUGCAGAACUUUAGCAGCAUAAUAUGUAAGCAUCCAGAGAAACCCCUCAUAGUCUCAAGUUGUCUUAAGUUUUGAAAAAGGAUAAACAACACAAUGUACCUUGGUACUGAUAGUUCACAAAGUUAUUAAAGGCAUCAAAGGAAGCAUUAGAACUAGAUUUAGGAAGUGAGAAAAGUGAGGAUAAGUAUAUAUGAAUUUGUUGCAAGAAGAGAUCACCACAACUUUGCUAUCUCUGGUUUACCUGUGACAAGAAGUAGCAAAGCCUAGAUGCAAGAGGUAAGAAAAAAGUCUUUGAAAAGUAAGAAUGGCUAAUUCCUGGGGUAGAUUUUAAUUUUAUUUUAUUUUUUUUUAAUCUGGAGAAUAGUCCAACUUUGACUUAAGCUAUUUAAAGGGAGACUGAAUUGGCAGUUGUCAGUACUGAUUUGGAUGUGAAGCAGGAUACAGCUGAACCCUGCUUCCUAUAAGAAAUCCCAAGACAUAUAAACGGGUCCUCUUUAUGCCUUUUUCCUAUUACUUCUUAAGUCACUUUCUGUAGAAUUCUGCCAAGUUUGUAAGUAGGAAUGAGGAAAAGGAAUAGAAGCUGCGCUUCUGUUUCUACUGAAAGAUGAAAUAAAAAUUAUGAAUUAACUUUAUUGUUAAAAUAAAUAUGACUAUUUAUUUCAGGUAUUCUAUUCUACAGUUGUUCUGCAUGCUGAAUGGAAACCUUGCGCUGUUCUGAAGGGCUGGACCAGUUCCUUCUGGAGUCAUUAUAUUUCUCCUCUCAUGCCACCAGAUGGCUGGUUUAGGUGUAAUGACAGCAGCUGUUUGAGUCUACUUGCCAGCCUUGAGAUUCAACAACUCUGGAAUCACUUGGGUACACAGGAUUAAACAAAGACAAAAUUUAAACUUUUGUCUUCUAUAAUGUAGUAAUUUCAUACUGAUGAAUAAAGGAACUGACUUUGCAGUAAAUUAUUGGUCAACAUAUUUUUUUUUCUAAUAAUUUGGUUUGUGUUAUUUUCUGUAUUUGUACUUGCUCUACACUGUUAUUUCCUAGGUGUAUCUACAUAAAGACAAAAAAUUAAUCACAGAACACACUCUGGAUUUUCUUCCAAUGUUCAGACUACACUGAUUGAAGUAUUGAAUCCAUUUACAACACUGUCUUCCUGUAAAUAUUCCAUUCCAAUAGACUGCCAAAAGGAACUGCAAAAUACUUCUAAGGCAAUAACUUUCAUCUCUAACUUCACGCUUUCAUUGUGAACAUAGAUUCUACAGCAAGGAAGUAACACAGAUCUGGGACUGUGAGACUACAACAGCCUUUCUCUUGUGUAAUGUCAAUGUCGGCUAUCACUUUGGCAGAAUCAGCCAGCUCAGUGAAGACAGAAAACCCUUCCUUCCUCCUGUUUUUUCAUCUGCUGGUGGCAUUCAAAGUGGCCUUCCCUUAUAAAUAUUGGUGUAAUGUCUAUUCUUCUGAGAUGAGCUCUUAAUUAAUGCACAGAGAUCCUGAAAGUCCCACCUCUCAACAGUAAUGAUUGACAUCCAAGGAUACAUAAAUUACACUAAUUGAGCUUUCCAUUUAUACAGUUUUCUGCAGCCAACUCAUCAGAAAAGGUUAUGAAUUUCCUGUGCAAGACUACAGAAGCAAGCAAACUGGGAGUAUGGGAGCAGAGUGACUUAGAGUCCAGGCCUUUGUAUUUCUUCCAAUAAAAGUAUGAGGACAAAAUGAAACAAGACUUAAAUUUAGAAUUAGAAGAACAGAGAUAUAAGUGGAGGCUAGGGAAAAAAAGGGAAAUGAAGUGUAAGAAAAAUGGCGUUUGUAAAUGCCCUUCGUAUCUGGAAUAACUUCAUACUUUUAGGAUUAGUGCAAAACUAUUAGUAUGGGUGUUGGGUUUCUUUUUUAUGGGAAUGUAAUUUCAUCUUCCUUGUGAUAUAAUUUUUGUCCAAAGCAACCCGAUGCAAACUUUUAUGUUGCAUGAAUAGAGGCAUAACAGGUAUUAAGUAAUUUUUUUCUCUUUAUUACUGGGCACAUGGAAAGAACAUGCACUUUAAUUUGGUUACUUUGAGAAAGGUGAAUUGUUUAAAACCCAAAUGGUUUGGUAGAACCAAAAUGGUUUAAUUUGCUAA